RNAcentral lists this ribosomal RNA (1473 nucleotides) under Enterococcus durans. RNAcentral describes it as "bacterial SSU rRNA". It matches the Rfam family "Bacterial small subunit ribosomal RNA". Lineage: Bacteria; Bacillati; Bacillota; Bacilli; Lactobacillales; Enterococcaceae. The record is from RNAcentral.
CGCUGGCGGCGUGCCUAAUACAUGCAAGUCGUACGCUUCUUUUUCCACCGGAGCUUGCUCCACCGGAAAAAGAAGAGUGGCGAACGGGUGAGUAACACGUGGGUAACCUGCCCAUCAGAAGGGGAUAACACUUGGAAACAGGUGCUAAUACCGUAUAACAAUCGAAACCGCAUGGUUUUGAUUUGAAAGGCGCUUUCGGGUGUCGCUGAUGGAUGGACCCGCGGUGCAUUAGCUAGUUGGUGAGGUAACGGCUCACCAAGGCCACGAUGCAUAGCCGACCUGAGAGGGUGAUCGGCCACAUUGGGACUGAGACACGGCCCAAACUCCUACGGGAGGCAGCAGUAGGGAAUCUUCGGCAAUGGACGAAAGUCUGACCGAGCAACGCCGCGUGAGUGAAGAAGGUUUUCGGAUCGUAAAACUCUGUUGUUAGAGAAGAAUAAGGAUGAGAGUAACUGUUCAUCCCUUGACGGUAUCUAACCAGAAAGCCACGGCUAACUACGUGCCAGCAGCCGCGGUAAUACGUAGGUGGCAAGCGUUGUCCGGAUUUAUUGGGCGUAAAGCGAGCGCAGGCGGUUUCUUAAGUCUGAUGUGAAAGCCCCCGGCUCAACCGGGGAGGGUCAUUGGAAACUGGGAGACUUGAGUGCAGAAGAGGAGAGUGGAAUUCCAUGUGUAGCGGUGAAAUGCGUAGAUAUAUGGAGGAACACCAGUGGCGAAGGCGGCUCUCUGGUCUGUAACUGACGCUGAGGCUCGAAAGCGUGGGGAGCAAACAGGAUUAGAUACCCUGGUAGUCCACGCCGUAAACGAUGAGUGCUAAGUGUUGGAGGGUUUCCGCCCUUCAGUGCUGCAGCUAACGCAUUAAGCACUCCGCCUGGGGAGUACGACCGCAAGGUUGAAACUCAAAGGAAUUGACGGGGGCCCGCACAAGCGGUGGAGCAUGUGGUUUAAUUCGAAGCAACGCGAAGAACCUUACCAGGUCUUGACAUCCUUUGACCACUCUAGAGAUAGAGCUUCCCCUUCGGGGGCAAAGUGACAGGUGGUGCAUGGUUGUCGUCAGCUCGUGUCGUGAGAUGUUGGGUUAAGUCCCGCAACGAGCGCAACCCUUAUUGUUAGUUGCCAUCAUUCAGUUGGGCACUCUAGCAAGACUGCCGGUGACAAACCGGAGGAAGGUGGGGAUGACGUCAAAUCAUCAUGCCCCUUAUGACCUGGGCUACACACGUGCUACAAUGGGAAGUACAACGAGUCGCGAAGUCGCGAGGCUAAGCUAAUCUCUUAAAGCUUCUCUCAGUUCGGAUUGUAGGCUGCAACUCGCCUACAUGAAGCCGGAAUCGCUAGUAAUCGCGGAUCAGCACGCCGCGGUGAAUACGUUCCCGGGCCUUGUACACACCGCCCGUCACACCACGAGAGUUUGUAACACCCGAAGUCGGUGAGGUAACCUUUUGGAGCCAGCCGCCUAAGGUGGGAUAGAUGAUUGGG